Molecule: long non-coding RNA, 541 nt
Organism: Herpailurus yagouaroundi (jaguarundi)
Lineage: Eukaryota; Metazoa; Chordata; Mammalia; Carnivora; Felidae
Exons: 2
Source: RefSeq, a predicted model, not a curated record
UCUCCCUCUAUCCCUCCCCAAUCACCUUCUAGCUCUCUCUCUGUCUCAAAAAUAAAAAUUAAAAAACAAACUACCAAUUCUGAAUAUUUUCCUUUCCACUUCCUCUACUCUCCUUUACCCCACCUCACCCACCCUCCCAUUUCCCCUAAGCCAGGGAAGUAAAACUACACAGGUACAAAGAUUCCCUGUCUCAUGGCACAACCAUGGUUUCUUGUUCAGGUAUUGUUUCUUCUUUCCUUCCUUCUAUAAAGCUGUCCUAUUUUCCUGCCUUUUGAGUCCCUGGUCCUCUCUCAUAUUAUGAACUUAAUGAUCACUACAAAAUGCUGGCAGCAGUUCCCAGAAUGCUGAAAAGAGACAUGGUUCCUAAGUCUGCAACAAUUUCUCUUCGGCCCUCCUGUCUGUGUUCUAGCAACACUGUUUGUGGUUAUUACUUCUUCCAUGGUGAAAGGUUCUCUGCUCAACACUUAAAACGAUGUGGCCUAAUUCUGUUUAGGAUUUGUGCAUUGAUGAAAUGGCCAUUUAUAUUUGUAAAAAAAAAAAA